GCGGGUGUAGUUCAAUGGUAGAAUUCCAGCCUUCCAAGCUGGCUGUGUGAGUUCGAUUCUCAUCACCCGCUCCA
This 74-nucleotide transfer RNA is filed under the name Clostridium sp. CAG:465. RNAcentral's name for it is "transfer RNA-Gly(TCC)". It matches the Rfam family "tRNA". From Rfam's summary of the family: Transfer RNA (tRNA) molecules are approximately 80 nucleotides in length. Their secondary structure includes four short double-helical elements and three loops (D, anti-codon, and T loops). Further hydrogen bonds mediate the characteristic L-shaped molecular structure. tRNAs have two regions of fundamental functional importance: the anti-codon, which is responsible for specific mRNA codon recognition, and the 3' end, to which the tRNAs corresponding amino acid is attached (by aminoacyl-tRNA synthetases). tRNAs cope with the degeneracy of the genetic code in two manners: having more than one tRNA (with a specific anti-codon) for a particular amino acid; and 'wobble' base-pairing, i.e. permitting non-standard base-pairing at the 3rd anti-codon position. RNAcentral also lists the same sequence under 1 other name. Lineage: Bacteria; Bacillati; Bacillota; Clostridia; Eubacteriales; Clostridiaceae. The record is from RNAcentral.